RNAcentral lists this ribosomal RNA (253 nucleotides) under uncultured bacterium. RNAcentral's name for it is "partial 16S ribosomal RNA". It matches the Rfam family "Bacterial small subunit ribosomal RNA", at positions 524 to 776 of the family's 1533-position model. The record is from RNAcentral.
UACGUAGGGUGCAAGCGUUAAUCGGAAUUACUGGGCGUAAAGCGUGUGUAGGUGGUUUGCUAAGUCAGGUGUGAAAUCCCUGGGCUCAACCUAGGAAUUGCAUUUGAUACUGGCAGACUAGAGUGCGGUAGAGGAUGGUGGAAUUCCCGGUGUAGCGGUGAAAUGCGUAGAUAUCGGGAGGAACAUCAGUGGCGAAGGCGGCCAUCUGGACUGACACUGACACUGAGACACGAAAGCGUGGGGAGCAAACAGG